UACAACGCCAAGGAACUGAGAAUUUGCCUCCGUCGAACAGAAGAAAGGGAGGAGAGGGAGCUGGUGACAGCACAUGGGAUGGAGCCCUGGGCCUCUGAGAAAACCACAGCAGGAACAGGGCCGGCCACCUCUGGCCCGCGCUGGGCUGGGCUGCUGGUGACUGGGCUUCUCUAGUCUUCCGUCCGUCCAUCCCUGGCAGACUGACGGGCGCGGAGCAGUGAGCGCGCGGGCAGGACUGCAGGCCAGCUGGGCCCAGCCCCUGCAGCUUUGCAGGCUCCAGCAGCACGGGACGAAGUGCAGGUAGGAAGGUCUGUUCUAUCUCCUGCCUCCUGGAGGCA
Trichechus manatus latirostris (Florida manatee) is the source of this 338-nucleotide long non-coding RNA. RefSeq lists it as uncharacterized. The record is from RefSeq and is a predicted model, not a curated record. Lineage: Eukaryota; Metazoa; Chordata; Mammalia; Sirenia; Trichechidae. The transcript has 3 exons.